This 256-nucleotide long non-coding RNA is filed under the name Lathyrus oleraceus (garden pea). RNAcentral describes it as "Pisum sativum (pea) long non-coding RNA (PSAT_LNC023708)". Lineage: Eukaryota; Viridiplantae; Streptophyta; Magnoliopsida; Fabales; Fabaceae. The record is from RNAcentral.
AGAAGAAGAAGAAGAAGAAGUUGCUACCUUUCUAGAUGAAGAUGAGGUGCCUCUCAAUGAGCGCCAAAAAGAAAUGCUUCUUAGGGACAAUCUUCUAAAGCUUCUAACACUACUACUUAUGGUAAGCUUCCUGAAGCCGAUAAUCUUGUUGUUUCUAAUUCUUCUAUUCCUUAAAGGAUCUUACCAAUUCAAACACUUCCCAAUUCUCAACCAAUCACUUCUCAACAAAUUUCAUCCAUCUCUCAACCAAUUUCUG